Molecule: non-coding RNA, 137 nt
Organism: Caenorhabditis elegans
Lineage: Eukaryota; Metazoa; Nematoda; Chromadorea; Rhabditida; Rhabditidae
Source: Ensembl
UCACGUUUCAAAAGGCGUCUAGUUCUUUCUCUUCAUAUUGAGGUAAAAGUUCUCGGAUUCUUGCUGCUGCUGCUGCUUAAUUUGAUAUGUUCCAAGCCCAGUGAAACUGGGUCAUUUAUCCGGCCUUCUCUAAUCAG